UAAGUCUAUACUCUACAGUCUCUAUUUUUAGUAGUUUGGUAAUCGAACAUGUGAUCUGAAAUUUCUUUGGCUGCUCCUCUUCUCAAAUGUCACUAAGACCAUAGUUAUUGAUGGUCUCUUAACAUAACUCUUAUGUUAAGAGAUAUGUCUUAUAACUAACAAAAGUGACUUAAUGUCUCUUAUAUAAGAGCCUUUUGUUAGUUAUAAGACAUGUUUCUUAACAUAAGAAUUGUUUUAAGAGAUCAUCAAUAAUGAUGCUCUAAUAGUCUUCAUCUUUAUGGAGAAAUUUGGACUUGGAGCGAGAGAUCUAACGAGCAAGAGCAAAGUUUAUUGCAUGUUGUCGAUGAAGAAGAAUUAGGGGUUUGGGCUCUAUCUAGGUUAUGGGCUUCUAUUUUUAGGAACAUUGUUGGUUCGAGUUGGGUUCUUUCAAUCUUUAUAUUGUGGGUCUUCUUAUGGCUACUGUUGCUUCUUUAACUUUAAAGUAGGUUUAGGCAUUCAGGUUUUCAAAUCGGUUUUUUCGGAUUUGGAAUAAUUCAAAUAGGGAGAUUUAUGAUCUAUAUAGGUCGAUUUGGGUUUUGUCAGGUUCGAAUCGGUUUUCGAAAUUUAAUUUCAUUCCGACAUAGAAUUGAAACCUAUUUUGGUUAGGUUUUUGGACCGAAUUACACAAAAAAGUUCAUUGUUCUAGUAACAUAAAUUCAUUUGUUUCAUGAUAAAAAGUAGCAAUAAU
Molecule: small RNA, 727 nt
Filed under: Arabidopsis thaliana (thale cress)
Lineage: Eukaryota; Viridiplantae; Streptophyta; Magnoliopsida; Brassicales; Brassicaceae
Description: ATSL256540
Source: RNAcentral